Fukomys damarensis (Damara mole-rat) is the source of this 656-nucleotide long non-coding RNA. RefSeq lists it as uncharacterized. NCBI's taxonomy places the organism in Eukaryota, Metazoa, Chordata, Mammalia, Rodentia, Bathyergidae. The transcript has 3 exons. The record is from RefSeq and is a predicted model, not a curated record.
GAUGAUAAAUACUCCAUAAGGAAUCUUAAAUCAGCUCAGCAGCCUGGGAAAGGAUGGAGAAUAGCCUUAAAAAAAACAGCACCUAUAAAAAGAACUGGAUCAAAAGUAGAUGCCCGAUCACAUACCCACUGUGGUUGGGCUGAUAAAAAUAGCCACUUGCACAGAUUUAGUUCACUUCAAUGUCAGGCUUCCCUCCAACUACCCUGCCUCCCUCCCCCACCUUCAACUCGAUAAAUGAUUCCCAUGGCGGCGAACUUGGUGUUCAUAGCGGGUACUUUAGUGUCCUACACACCGAAGGACAGCCUGUAUCAGAUGCUGCAUUGAGAGGCAGCCAGUGGAAAAUGGAAAAAAUGACAUUGAUUGUGAAGAAACUGGGACAAAUGAAUUACUUCAUGAGUUUCUGCCUUAUUAUACACUCUGUAAGACUUUGCUAGAUUUAAAAAAAGGCCAUUCACUACAGCUCUUAAAACAUCAUUCCAUGCUAGUAUAGCACGGAAUUGGACCCAGGAGACAAGAUCAGAAAACAGAAGUAACAGGAACAAGAAGCAAUACCACUUAAUGCCUUUUUUGAGUAGUUCUGUGACACAUAACUGAGUAUCAAACCACCUGACUACAUGAAAGCCUUAUGAAUCAUGAUUUUUGAACAAUAUAUUUAG